RNAcentral lists this ribosomal RNA (485 nucleotides) under uncultured bacterium. Its description in RNAcentral is "partial 16S ribosomal RNA". It matches the Rfam family "Bacterial small subunit ribosomal RNA", at positions 28 to 507 of the family's 1533-position model. The record is from RNAcentral.
GAUGAACGCUGGCGGCGUGCUUAACACAUGCAAGUCGAACGGGAUCCAAGGGGUGCUUGCACUUUUUGGUGAGAGUGGCGAACGGGUGAGUAACACGUGAGUAACCUGUCCUUUUCUUUGGGAUAAGCAUUCGAAAGGGUGUUUAAUACCUUAUGUUCUGUCUGCCUCGCAUGGGGUGGGUGGGAAAGGCUUUGGCCGGAUUUGGGUGGGCUCGCGGUCUAUCUGCUUGUUGGUGGGGUGAUGGCUUACCAAGGCUUUGACGGGUAGCCGGCCUGAGAGGGUGGUCGGUCACAUUGGGACUGAGAUCCGGCCCAGACUCCUGCGGGAGGCAGCAGUGGGGGAUAUUGCACAAUGGGCGAAAGCCUGAUGCAGCGACGCCGCGUGGGGUAUGAAGGCCUUCGGGUUGUAAACUUCUUUUGCUCUGAACAAGGCAUGCCAGUGGGUGUGUUGAGUGUAGGGGUUGAUUAGCGCCGGCUAACUACGUG